AAAGUCGUAACAAGGUUUCCGUAGGUGAACCUGCGGAAGGAUCAUUAACAAAUCUGAGGGUCUGGUCUGUUGUAGGCCGGCCUAUCUUUGCGCGUGUUAUGUGUGACUGGUUAUAAAAAGGAUAAUUAUUUUCAAUUGAGACAACUUUUAACAAUGGAUCUCUUGGCUCUU
RNAcentral lists this unclassified non-coding RNA (171 nucleotides) under Chytridiomycota sp. Its description in RNAcentral is "partial contains small subunit ribosomal RNA, internal transcribed spacer 1, and 5.8S ribosomal RNA". The stretch from base 1 to 47 matches the Rfam family "Eukaryotic small subunit ribosomal RNA", at positions 1785 to 1831 of the family's 1831-position model. Lineage: Eukaryota; Fungi; Chytridiomycota. The record is from RNAcentral.